UUGAACGCUGGCGGCAGGCCUAACACAUGCAAGUCGAGCGGAUGAAGGGAGCUUGCUCCUGGAUUCAGCGGCGGACGGGUGAGUAAUGCCUAGGAAUCUGCCUGGUAGUGGGGGAUAACGUCCGGAAACGGGCGCUAAUACCGCAUACGUCCUGAGGGAGAAAGUGGGGGAUCUUCGGACCUCACGCUAUCAGAUGAGCCUAGAUCGGAUUAGCUAGUUGGUGGGGUAAAGGCCUACCAAGGCGACGUUCCGUAACUGGUCUGAGAGGAUGAUCAGUCACACUGGAACUGAGACACGGUCCAGACUCCUACGGGAGGCAGCAGUGGGGAAUAUUGGACAAUGGGCGAAAGCCUGAUCCAGCCAUGCCGCGUGUGUGAAGAAGGUCUUCGGAUUGUAAAGCACUUUAAGUUGGGAGGAAGGGCAGUAAGUUAAUACCUUGCUGUUUUGACGUUACCAACAGAAUAAGCACCGGCUAACUUCGUG
This 483-nucleotide ribosomal RNA is filed under the name uncultured bacterium. RNAcentral's name for it is "partial 16S ribosomal RNA". It matches the Rfam family "Bacterial small subunit ribosomal RNA", at positions 30 to 507 of the family's 1533-position model. The record is from RNAcentral.